RNAcentral lists this ribosomal RNA (642 nucleotides) under Sporobolomyces sp. FA-8H. RNAcentral describes it as "eukaryotic LSU rRNA". The stretch from base 220 to 373 matches the Rfam family "5.8S ribosomal RNA". Lineage: Eukaryota; Fungi; Basidiomycota; Microbotryomycetes; Sporidiobolales; Sporidiobolaceae. The record is from RNAcentral.
CUUGGUCAUUUAGAGGAAGUAAAAGUCGUAACAAGGUUUCCGUAGGUGAACCUGCGGAAGGAUCAUUAGUGAAUAAAUAGGGUGUCCAAUUUAACUUGGAACCCGACCUUCUCACAUCUAACCCUGUGCAUCUGUAUUUAAUGGCGAGCAAUUUUCGAAUUGUGAGCCAUUUCACUUUAUAAACACUAGUCUAUGAAUGUAAUUUUUAUAACAAAUAAAAACUUUCAACAACGGAUCUCUUGGCUCUCGCAUCGAUGAAGAACGCAGCGAAAUGCGAUACGUAAUGUGAAUUGCAGAAUUCAGUGAAUCAUCGAAUCUUUGAACGCAUCUUGCGCUCUCUGGUAUUCCGGAGAGCAUGUCUGUUUGAGUGUCAUGAAUUCUUCAACCCAACUGUUUCUUGUAAACAGCUGGUGUUUGGAUUCUGAGCGCUGCUGGCUUCGUGCCUAGCUCGUUCGUAAUACAUCAGCAUCCCUAAUACAAGUUUGGAUUGACUUGGCGUAAUAGACUAUUCGCUAAGGAUUCAAUGUUCUGCAUUGAGCCAACUUAAUUAAGGAAGCUUCUAAUUGAAAAGUCUACCUUUAGAUUAGAUCUCAAAUCAGGCAGGAUUACCCGCUGAACUUAAGCAUAUCAAUAAGCGGAGGA